GCCGGGCGCGGUGGCUGACGCCUGUAAUCCCAGCUACUUGGGAGGCUGAGGCAGGAGAAUCACUUGAACCCAGGAGGCGGAGGUUGUGGUGAGCUGAGAUUGUGCCAUUGCACUCCAGCCUGGGCAACNNNNNNNNNNAGAUGGAGUUUUUGCUCUUGUUGCCCAGGCUGGAGUGCAAUGGCACAAUCUCAGCUCACCGCAACCUCCGCCUCCUGGGUUCAAGUGAUUCUCCUGCCUCAG
This 240-nucleotide signal recognition particle RNA is filed under the name Chlorocebus sabaeus (green monkey). RNAcentral's name for it is "Metazoan signal recognition particle RNA". It matches the Rfam family "Metazoan signal recognition particle RNA". Rfam says of the family: The signal recognition particle (SRP) is a universally conserved ribonucleoprotein. Lineage: Eukaryota; Metazoa; Chordata; Mammalia; Primates; Cercopithecidae. The record is from Rfam by way of RNAcentral.